RNAcentral lists this ribosomal RNA (252 nucleotides) under uncultured bacterium. RNAcentral describes it as "partial 16S ribosomal RNA". It matches the Rfam family "Bacterial small subunit ribosomal RNA", at positions 524 to 776 of the family's 1533-position model. The record is from RNAcentral.
UACGUAGGUGGCAAGCGUUAUCCGGAUUUAUUGGGUGUAAAGGGCGUGUAGGCGGGAAUGCAAGUCAGAUGUGAAAACUAUGGGCUCAACCCAUAGCCUGCAUUUGAAACUGUAUUUCUGAGUGCUGGAGAGGCAAUCGGAAUUCCGUGUGUAGCGGUGAAAUGCGUAGAUAUACGGAGGAACACCAGUGGCGAAGGCGGAUUGCUGGACAGUAACUGACGCUGAGGCGCGAAAGCGUGGGGAGCAAACAGG